UGCUGUGCUGGUUGGUUUUUGUC
This 23-nucleotide non-coding RNA is filed under the name Mus musculus (house mouse). Lineage: Eukaryota; Metazoa; Chordata; Mammalia; Rodentia; Muridae. The record is from RNAcentral. RNAcentral also lists the same sequence under 1 other name.